UCCACCAUUCUCCUCAAUACAAUCUUCCAGUAUGCUGUCAUCCUCAUCUUCAGAUCAAAAGCCUGCUGAAGAACGUCUGGAUGCUCCCACAAAUUCCCCACUUCGAUGUUUCCAAACCCCUCCAGGAAUACAGUAGCUGGGCGGUAAUCAUUUCUCAGCACCUGAUUUAAGAAUGUCUGUUGCUGGGUCAUGAGCUUGUUCCAUUCUGUUGUGUAUGCAGAAUCACAGGUGUAGUCGGUGAGCUUCUCCAUUUCUACAACCUCUGUUAUCCAACUCAUCGAUCGAUCUUUCAUCCCUUCGACGACGCUUUUCCCUGCUCGUCUGAUGGGCUGCUGGAGCUGUGGAUAGUGUUCAGAAUGCUGCAUCAACACGGCAAGGACAAUGACCUGAAUGUAAUCCCAAACUUUCAUCACAAACUCAACUGGUAAAUUUGAUAUUAAGUUCACUUUCCUCUGCAGAAUCGAGAGGAAGGCGGCACGGGGAAGGAAAUUGGGAAGUCCAAUGCCUCUGGAUUCCUCCAAGACUUUGAUCUCUUCUAUUAGAAAGUUAGCAGUGUUGUCGGUUCCGAUGCACUUGUGGAGCUCAUUGGAGAACUGAUUGAUCAUUUCAACCAUCCUGGCUGUCGAAUGCAUCUUUUCAUCAUCGGGAAACUCAUCAUACUCUC
Molecule: long non-coding RNA, 664 nt
Filed under: Cucumis sativus (cucumber)
Lineage: Eukaryota; Viridiplantae; Streptophyta; Magnoliopsida; Cucurbitales; Cucurbitaceae
Description: long non-coding RNA (CSAT_LNC000577)
Source: RNAcentral